Molecule: non-coding RNA, 105 nt
Organism: Armillaria nabsnona
Lineage: Eukaryota; Fungi; Basidiomycota; Agaricomycetes; Agaricales; Physalacriaceae
Source: the annotation of a GenBank genome assembly
GCCUCUUUGGCUCAGUCGGUUAGAGCGCAAGUCUCAUAUAUUAAGUUGCCAAACGACUUUUGUAAUGUGAUCUUGAGGUCGAAAGUUCGAAUCUUUCAAGUGGCA